CCCCUCAGUACCAGUUGAACCUGCCCCGGAGCAAGCUGGACGACUGCCACUCGGACAUGUCCGGAGAGAGCGCCGGCGACAGCGGCAAGGGCGGAAGUGACGACGAUCUGCAGAUCAACAAUCUUUCCUUCCCACGCGACGGCGACCUGCGCUUCAAGGACAGGUGGAACACCGGGAGACACAGCGCCUCUGCGUGCCAACUCUCUUCGUUUCCCACUCGAUAUACGCAACCGAACAACACCCUUACGCACCAGAAAAUAGUCCCGUUCUCGUUCAAGAAAACGCCAUCCUACAGCGGAAAUGGUUUAAUAAAUAAUCUUGCGCCUCAACCGUCGUUCCAGAUGACCGCGACGACGGGAUAUAGCGUGCCGACGUAUUAUGACGACGAGAGCCGGUCGUCGUCUGGGUUCCAUAGUAGUAUAGAUUCCAGCUCAAAUAUGCAUAUUAAUAAUUUCAGGAAUGGAAAACUGUACUUAAAUCGAGCUAAAGUGUCGGACUGUGUGGUAUAGGGAGAGUUUGUGUUCGUAUAACUUAUAUUAUCUGUGAUAUUAGAAGUCAUUGUUGUACCAAAUCACGCGAUGUUAUUGACAAGAAUGGCCCAAGUCAGUAAUCGGACACAACGCACGUUACAUGUGCCAAAUUGUACAUUUAUUAUUCUUAAUAUUUAAAUGAAAGUCACUGUCUUCUCAUCUGUGUGCAAUGAUGAACUAGCAGACGAGAAUAAUCUGGUCAUGUGAGGAGAGGCGCAAUGCGAUGUCAUCGAUUUCAUUAUUAUAGAUUACGCCGUAGCGUUGAAGACUGCAUUUCCGAAAGAAGAGCUACGUUUUCUACUAACCCUCCAAGUUAUGACAGAGUGUAGCAUAACCAGUCAUCUGGACGUGUAUUUCGGACAGUGUUUCAUCGGAUAUCGCUUCUUCUCUUCAAUAACUCUUGAACAUCGCAAUGCCUGAGGCAUUCUUGUAUUUAAAUAAACAUGCAAGAUGACGUUUAUAAAACGCCCGUUUGAAAGUAAAUGUGGGAACGUGUGUGUGAUUCACGAACACAUGCAAUUCGGCGUGCAUUAUUUGAAAUAUGCUUCGUUGUAUUUUCCACACCUAUCGUAGUCACUUGUAGUCUUAUGUAAGUUACAACUACAAGACUGUGCAAACAUAAUGUUUUACGAGCUGGGCAAUAAUGGAAAAACAUGUAAAGCAUUUAUAUAGCCAUAAUUAUUACAUAAACACGUACAUUAAUGUGCUACGCAAAAUACUCGAUUAGCAUAACGUGUUAAAAAAAAUAAAACGUGCAUAAGGAAGCAUAAUGGUGCCCAUAACAUUUACAAUAAACGUUUUAUUCGCCAUAAAGUAUUCACUUAAUAAACAAAUUUUAAUAAUAUAGUUUUGUAUGUCAGAUCGUUUAUCUUCUGGCAGGUUACCUGAAUUCACGUGUACUUUAGACAGUCCCUGUUGACAGUCAGUCACUGUUAAAAUUAUUGUUGGUGCAGCCGAAAUUAAUGGUCAGUCCGAAGGGUAAAGCAAUAAUUAAUAAUUUCCUUUCAAGUUACGUCGGCGCAACUUUGAUCUUCGGCAUCCCCAUGUUGAUAAUAGAUAAUACUCAUUGUGCUGAUAUGUAAAUAAUUGUUGUGUCCCGCUGCGUGUAUGUACAAAGAGUGACCGGACAGGUCAUUGCAUGAUAAAUGUUACGAGAUAUUACGGCGGAGCUGCGUUUGAUAGAAGUGUCAGGUCCCGGUAGAUUUGAUAAAUGGUAUCCGCGAUUGUACACCCAUAACAAUAAAUACAAUAACACAUUGGAACUCUCUCAGAUGUAUUUUUCACUUCAUGAUAGGGAAUCGUUAAGAGAAAUUGAAUUUUGUUUCAUAGUUAUUCGAGGACCAAUAGUUUUAUGUUUGUUGAAGAUAUUCGUGUUAUUGUUUUCAUAUUUUGUAAACUGAAUAAUUCAAUUGUUAUUAAUAAUGAGUGUAGUUGUGCAGAAAUAUUUAAUCAAAUUCAAUACCAAUGAUAAUCUAGUUGAAAACACGCAUGUUUUAAAAAAUGAUUGGAAUUGUUGAUACGCACGUUUAAUAUAUUAUAAUUAACGGGUAAGACGAAUACCUAUGUAUAAAAAUACGCGUUUUGAAAGGUAGAGAAAGAGUUCGUGACAUCGAAUAGAUUCGUGUCUUCCGAAGAAUAAAUGUUUGUUUUUUUUAAAUUCUAUUAUGAAAACUGUUUUAUUGAUUUGUCCAAACAUCAGUAGUUUCGUUUCUUGCAUGUUUGCAUUCAGAUUUUAAUGUCGACAAUGGUCCGAAGCACAAUAAUUUUGUUUGUAUAUUUGAAAAAUGUGCACGUCAUGUUAUGUUCAUCUUUACAAUUAUUAUCAUACGAAUGAUGCACGUGUCGUGAACGUGAUUUUUUAUGCUAACAAUUUAGUCACUAAUGUCGUGUUCAUAUGGUUAUGCUUUUUGUUGUGGUUUUUGUAAAUUCUACUGAUAUUUGUGUAUGUUUGCAUUUGUAUUACAUUCUAGAAGAAUGUUUUUGAUAAAUGCAAUUAAAAUCUUCAAAAAUAA
Molecule: long non-coding RNA, 2542 nt
Organism: Dreissena polymorpha
Lineage: Eukaryota; Metazoa; Mollusca; Bivalvia; Myida; Dreissenidae
Exons: 2
Source: RefSeq, a predicted model, not a curated record